This is a long non-coding RNA of Ornithodoros turicata, 791 nucleotides long. RefSeq lists it as uncharacterized. The record is from RefSeq and is a predicted model, not a curated record. The transcript has 3 exons. Lineage: Eukaryota; Metazoa; Arthropoda; Arachnida; Ixodida; Argasidae.
GCGAAGUGUCAAUUUGGGACAUUUGAAGAUGACGCGAUUACAGACCACUUACUGGAAGGCACUGCGUUACCAGAAUUGCGUGAGCUGUUGCUCACAGAAGGUGGGCGUCUGUCGUUUGAACUCCGCAGUAACGUUGGCUACUACAUAUGAAGACGGUGCGCAAGAUCGCAGAGAGCUUCAGCAGCUUUGCGAAGUUCAGCAACUCCAGAUGGGAGCACUGCAAGGAGGGAAGGGAAGAUAGCAGAAAAAGGGAGCAGACAGAGCACCAGCGGGAUGUCCUAAAUCAACAGAGCUACGUGCAGAUACAAGCCCUUAACACAGACAGUAUCCUAAGCAGCAAAGCGAACUUCCGACACCCUCGUGGGAUCUUCAAGAACAUCAGCAUCCCAGGAUUGUUUUUGAUCGAGUUAUGACCACUGAACCCGAGGGAUCGUUCUUCAUCUCUGAUGUGAUUCGGCGCUCCUCCACGGAAGAGCGGUCCAGCAACACUGGGCUUCACCUCACCGGUAUUCUUCACGUGCACCUUUUUGUGGGUUCUGUGCCAUCGGUGGCGACUACUACACAACGAAAUCGAGGAAGCAGAUGACUGCUCAUCCAUGCCGCACGAAGAAGUAACUAAGCGCGUGACUGCCCGAACAAACUAAGCAAACAACCGACGGCCCGCACGAGACUACCUGUGACGUCACGUAGGGUACAGGAGGCCGGAGAGGGAGUCUUCAGGUGUUUCGGUUUCUAUAUAUAAGCUUCCCAGCUCUUUUGACAAUUAACGAGUCCCCGACCGCUAUACCAAC